This 253-nucleotide ribosomal RNA is filed under the name uncultured bacterium. RNAcentral describes it as "partial 16S ribosomal RNA". It matches the Rfam family "Bacterial small subunit ribosomal RNA", at positions 524 to 776 of the family's 1533-position model. The record is from RNAcentral.
UACAGAGGGUGCAAGCGUUAAUCGGAAUUACUGGGCGUAAAGGGUGCGUAGGUGGUUAAGUAAGUUGGAUGUGAAAUCCCCGGGCUCAACCUGGGACCUGCAUACAAAACUGCUUAGCUAGAGUAAGGUAGAGGGAAGUGGAAUUUCCGGUGUAGCGGUGAAAUGCGUAGAUAUCGGAAGGAACACCAGUGGCGAAGGCGGCUUCCUGGACCAUUACUGACACUGAGGCACGAAAGCGUGGGUAGCAAACAGG